This is a long non-coding RNA of Notothenia coriiceps (black rockcod), 520 nucleotides long. RefSeq lists it as uncharacterized. The transcript has 3 exons. NCBI's taxonomy places the organism in Eukaryota, Metazoa, Chordata, Actinopteri, Perciformes, Nototheniidae. The record is from RefSeq and is a predicted model, not a curated record.
UAAGAAGCACCGAGAGGGAGGGGACGCAGCGUAAUAUUCCCACCGUUUUUUCUCUCCUCCGUGUAGAGCCGAAAAAACAAGGGCAUCCAUCGCUCUCCUCAUCUUCCUCGCCACCAAAUCUAGGCUGAAUAUACGUCUCAAUUUGUCAUUUCCUCAGCUGUAAACACUCAUCUCUAUCUCCUCUUCCUCUUCCUCCCCCACCUGGAGGUUUUGGUUUCCAGCCCGGCAGGAGGGGAUUUCCGAGCCGAGCGGCAGGGCGUGAGAGGCGGAUGCUGCGAGCGUAAAGUCUGGGUACCAACCGGGAGCAUCACCGUCACACACUCAGCACCACGAUGGACAGAAUGAAUUUUCUCUCCUUCUUCCUCCUUUGCUUGACUUCAGUUGCCAGUAGCAACAAAGCCAAUAAGCACAAGCCAUGGAUCGAGACAGAGUACCAGGGGAUCGUCAUGGAGAACGACAACACGGUGCUGCUCAACCCCCCCCUGUUCGCCCUGGACAAAGAUGCUCCUCUGCACUACGC